CUACGGACUUAAAAUCCGUCGACUUUAUAAGUCGUGAGGGUUCAAGUCCCUCUAUCCCCA
Molecule: transfer RNA, 60 nt
Filed under: Festuca brevipila
Lineage: Eukaryota; Viridiplantae; Streptophyta; Magnoliopsida; Poales; Poaceae
Also listed under: 3 other names
Rfam family: tRNA
About the family: Transfer RNA (tRNA) molecules are approximately 80 nucleotides in length. Their secondary structure includes four short double-helical elements and three loops (D, anti-codon, and T loops).
Source: RNAcentral